Molecule: unclassified non-coding RNA, 591 nt
Filed under: Aspergillus tamarii
Lineage: Eukaryota; Fungi; Ascomycota; Eurotiomycetes; Eurotiales; Aspergillaceae
Description: sequence contains 18S rRNA gene, ITS1, 5.8S rRNA gene, ITS2, 28S rRNA gene
Rfam family: 5.8S ribosomal RNA (bases 227-380)
Source: RNAcentral
UCGUAACAAGGUUUCCGUAGGUGAACCUGCGGAAGGAUCAUUACCGAGUGUAGGGUUCCUAGCGAGCCCAACCUCCCACCCGUGUUUACUGUAACCUUAGUUGCUUCGGCGGGCCCGCCUUUAAGGCCGCCGGGGGGCAUCAGCCCCCGGGCCCGCGCCCGCCGGAGACACCACGAACUCUGUCUGAUCUAGUGAAGUCUGAGUUGAUUGUAUCGCAAUCAGUUAAAACUUUCAACAAUGGAUCUCUUGGUUCCGGCAUCGAUGAAGAACGCAGCGAAAUGCGAUAACUAGUGUGAAUUGCAGAAUUCCGUGAAUCAUCGAGUCUUUGAACGCACAUUGCGCCCCCUGGUAUUCCGGGGGGCAUGCCUGUCCGAGCGUCAUUGCUGCCCAUCAAGCACGGCUUGUGUGUUGGGUCGUCGUCCCCUCUUCGGGGGGGACGGGCCCCAAAGGCAGCGGCGGCACCGCGUCCGAUCCUCGAGCGUAUGGGGCUUUGUCACCCGCUCUGUAGGCCCGGCCGGCGCUUGCCGAACGCAAAACAACCAUUCUUUCCAGGUUGACCUCGGAUCAGGUAGGGAUACCCGCUGAACCUAA